This is a long non-coding RNA of Anguilla anguilla (European eel), 2502 nucleotides long. RefSeq lists it as uncharacterized. Lineage: Eukaryota; Metazoa; Chordata; Actinopteri; Anguilliformes; Anguillidae. The transcript is spliced from 4 exons. The record is from RefSeq and is a predicted model, not a curated record.
GGGGAGAGGAGAAGAGAAGAGAGAAGGGAGGAGGGAGAGAGCGAAAGAAGAAAAUGAGAGGGGAAACACAGCCAGACGAACGCUGGUGCUCCUUUUCCCUCCGCUGCUGUGAAACACUAAUGCGAGCUGGAGACGAGCAGAGCGGGGUAGGAGCUCGGGGGACUGGGGCGGAGGGGACGCCCUCGCUCCCACCAGCACGGGACAGGACAGCACAGGACAGGGCAGGGCAGGACGGCCCACGGCCCCUGGACGUCCUCUACACGCGCGGGGCCGGGGCUCGCGUACGCUAAGGUGUGUUAAAGGGUAGCCCCCUAAAAUGCACUGGGGUCUAGACCCUGAGGUGAGCCAGUUCUUGCCCCUCUCCAUCGCUGCAUAGGUAAGUUGGCUGCAUACGAUUCUAAAAUUCUUUUAGAGAAAUUUAAUAACACGCCUGACUUCAAGUUCCUGUAACACACUGUGUGUGAGCGCGCCAGCGUUUCUGUGAGAUCGGGAUGGAAAGUUGCAUUCUCCUUUGGUAACUGAGGCAAUACCCUCCAUGGCGUUUGCACAAUUUAGGUGACAAGCUCUAUUCAAGUCUACAGCACAUGUCCAGCUAUGCCCCCCAGUUCUUUCAGUUACACAAAAGCAUCACGGGCAGAGAGUUGUACAUUAAAACCAAUAGACAAUAGAGAAACCAAUGAAGACUUCAGCCAGUCGCAUAGUCAUUGACUGCUACUGCUACUGCUACUGCUACGGACACAGGAAUCUCUUUCCCGGUUUGUAAAAAAGAAAAAAAAAAACGUAAAAAUAUAAGACAAUAAGAACUCGUAUUUAUAACUACUGACCAUUUCUGAUAUUUGAUACAGGAAUAAAAAAAUAAACAGCCGUUAUAUGUAUCGUUCGUGUUUUCACGGUAUCAAAGUGGGACGGAACUGCAAAGACUCGAGCGCAGCUUCCAAUCACAUGACACUAUGCAGGCAGAGGGGUGGUGAUAAUGCUAAGCAUAUGGUAACCGUGGUAACCUUAGUUCCAUUGUCUCUUCAAAGGAAACUGGAGAAGAUCGGGACCAUUAGUAUGAUCGCAAUUCAGCACUUUCAUGAAGCACUUUCAAAAAUGUGCAGCUGAUAAUUCAGUAGACAUAUCAAUCUCUCUUUCUCUCACACAGACACACACACACACAUGCACACAGCUGCUAUCAAGUAAGCAGAUUCUGUGCACAUGCAAUAAUCUUGUUAGAGCAAUCGUAGCAAUCUCCUACAGUCUAUAGUUUAUACCAGUUACGUACAUCCAGGUAUUUUAUUGCACUUUCUAUGGCUUUCUGAGAGAUUCAGUGCAGAUGUAUGUCGCUCAUGCACGCACACAUUCACACGUGCACGCAUGCACAUGCACAGUCACUUUGCGCAUGCAUAGCCUAGCGUCACAGCUGGCACACAGUUGGCUUCCAGCCAAGAACGUGGCCUUUACGCCCAGGAUAAACCGAUAAACGGCAGGAUCUAGGAAUACAAGCUCAAGCUGUGGUGAUCUUUAAAUGUUGGGAGAAGAUAAAAUGAAAAAAGGUUGAUAAAAAAGUGUAAGAAAAAAAGGUUCUGUUUUAGAGAAGGGGGGUUGAGGGGUUACUGCCGGCCUCUCUGGUAUUUAAGGUUCCUUUUUGCAGGAGGUUUUCAAAGACACAGAAGUCAAAACAACAUGUGUUGUGGACGUGGGAACAGCUGGAAACCCAGUCACAGCUGGCUGUCCCAUCAACAAACAUCUCCCUGAACUGCUAUAGCGCUCGGGUCAGUACUUUAAGAGAAUAGCAAACAAACAUAUUACAUAUUCCCAUCAAUUAUCAAAAUUUAGAGGGAAGCAGCUGUCGGAACAGAUGAAACAAUAGAGAGCUCAAAUAUCAAUGUCCCUAAUGUAGAACGAGAAUAAUUUGUUCAGUCUCUCCAACUGUUUGAGAUUAAUAAUAAAUUAACUGCCCUUCAUGAAUUCACUACUCUUCUACUUUGAAAAACACAAUAAAACUUUUCAUGCACGAAAGGAAACCGAAAAUGUUCCCGCAUUUAUAGAGAAGAUUUAUUUAUUUGUGAUUUUGAAAUUUUCCACUAGGACAAACAACACUUUUAAUCCAUCAAAGAACCACGUUGGUCUCGGGUGCUGUAUAAUUUUGUGGUAGUAAGCUUUUUUUAAACAGCUCUCUUGUUUACAAUGAAAGUGAACAAGACAUAAAAGUGACAGAGGAAGACCACACCAAUAUAUCAGUUGUUUUGGAACAGAACCUGGAGACAUAUUUUCAAUUUGUGGUACAAACAGGCAGGGAAUUAUGCUGUAGGGGGAAAUGUGGAAAGAAAAAAUAAAACUGCUUUACUGAACAGCUGGGCCAUUUCACACCAACUUUCUCACAUUUGACACAUUAACGAAGCGUUGUUGUGUCGGGAGUCGCUAUAUUUUCAUCAUGACUUCUUUUUUUUUUCUCCUCCAUCCAGCAGACUUGAGACAAGUUAGGCGGAGGCGGGAAAGUGAGGUCUACCAACGAGAGCA